CCUACGGGAGGCAGCAGUGAGGAAUAUUGGUCAAUGGGCGUAAGCCUGAACCAGCCAAGUCGCGUGAGGGAUGAAGGUUCUAUGGAUCGUAAACCUCUUUUAUAAGGGAAUAAAGUGUGGGACGUGUCCUAUUUUGUAUGUACCUUAUGAUUAAGGAUCGGCUAACUCCGUGCCAGCAGCCGCGGUAAUACGGAGGAUCCGAGCGUUAUCCGGAUUUAUGGGGUUUAAAGGGUGCGUAGGCGGCCUUUUAAGUCAGCGGUGAAAGUCUGUGGCUCAACCAGAGAAUUGCCGUUGAAACUGGGGGGCGUGAGUAUGUUUGAGGCAGGCGGAAUGCUUGGUGGAGCGGGGAAAUGCUUAGAUAUCACGCAGAACCCCGUUGGCGAAGGCAGUCUGCCAAGCCAUGACUGACGCUGAGGCACGAAAGCGUGGGUAUCGAACAGGAUUAGAUACCCCUGUAGUC
RNAcentral lists this ribosomal RNA (460 nucleotides) under uncultured bacterium. RNAcentral's name for it is "partial 16S ribosomal RNA". It matches the Rfam family "Bacterial small subunit ribosomal RNA", at positions 338 to 795 of the family's 1533-position model. The record is from RNAcentral.